This 76-nucleotide transfer RNA is filed under the name Pseudomonadota bacterium. Its description in RNAcentral is "Proteobacteria bacterium (freshwater metagenome) tRNA-Trp". It matches the Rfam family "tRNA". From Rfam's summary of the family: Transfer RNA (tRNA) molecules are approximately 80 nucleotides in length. Their secondary structure includes four short double-helical elements and three loops (D, anti-codon, and T loops). The record is from RNAcentral. Lineage: Bacteria; Pseudomonadati; Pseudomonadota. RNAcentral also lists the same sequence under 1 other name.
AGGAGCGUAGCUCAACUGGUAGAGUAGCGGUCUCCAAAACCGUUGGUUGGGGGUUCGACUCCUCUCGCUCCUGCCA